UCACAUGUGGCACUUCCACUCACAUGUUCUCACGUGUGGCACUUCCACUCGUGCCCUGCACGCAGGCACCCUGCACUCAGCCUAGCCUGGCAUGGGCAAAGGCUUGAUCAGCUCCAGCUCUGGGAGGGUGUUGUGGGUGUAUGUAUUCAGCAACAUUUGUCUUCAUGACUGCUGGGUGGAUUUUUGGUUUUCCCACUGAGCUUGUUCCUUUUAUACACAGCACUGCUGCAAUGCUGCCAAGCCUCUGCCCGUCCUGCCAUGCUACUGGGGCUGUGCAGUCCUUCCUUCUCCACCCCUGCCCCUCACCAGUCCCAGACACGGGGUUGGGGACAUGGAGGGGGUGAGGCGGGGGUUGGGCACUGACUGGGAGGCUGAGCAAGUAAUCACAUGUUGAGGAUGAAGGGAGUAGUUGUCUGCUAGCACUGUGUACAGAGUUGAGAGAUUGCUCAUGACCAUGGCAAAGUCCUGUAGCAGGUUGGGGGUGGUGGAGGAAUGUCAAGAUUUCUCAGGCUUUUUAUUGCUGUGACAAGAGAAUUGCCCCUGAGGAGCUUUCCUCAUCUACCCGCUUCAGGAGUUUGGAGGAGAGGAACAAAUGUCUGCACAGAAGUGGGGCAGUGAGAGAUGCUUUGCUGGUUACCCCUGGUGGGGUGAAGGCAGAAUGCUUACACUACCUUUACUGCCAUGUACUUUGCUAGACGCUUCCACAAACUCGGUCUCUAUGCAGGAAGGAGGAAUGGGCUGGUGCCUUCAGGACUGCGUGGGUAUACCUCUUUAAUUGGAAGGGAAUCCUCACAAAGGGAAUCUGAUUCAUUUUACUCUCACUCCUAAUGCAUCUGGCGGUAGACUUGCCUCAAGAACCAAAUGAAUCUUGAGCUGCUAUUACAUAUUGGAUCCCCCAUAUGAUUUGAAUUCACAUCCCUCAGGGAGGGGAGACUCUGUGGAUAACACCCAAAAUCCACCCAGUGUUCCUAGGUGGAGUUGGUGCUGCCUGCUGGUGGUCGGCUGGAAGGCGCUGAUGGCAUCGGGCUACGGUGGCAGCUGGGUGACACCUUGAAGAGUGGCAGCUUGCUGGGGACCCCAGAGUGGAAAAAAGGGGGCUGUGACUUGCUGCUCCCCUGCCAAAGUCACAGCCUCCACGGCAAGGUUUGGCUGCAGCAGAUGGGAGAGAAGAGCCGUGUCUGAGUGCUUUCAGGGGCAGAUGAUGUCCUCAGUCUGCAGUGACACCCAGCCUUGACCAGCACUGAGCAACUGAAAGUGUCACAGAGACACCAGGUGAACCCAGGAAAAAUGAAUGGCCAUGAGAUAAAACACAAAAUGAGCCAAAAAGGCAGAAUCUUACCAUAACACCAAUGUUAUGGUUAUAACUGGUCUGUUAACAAAUCAGCCAGCUCUUAUCUUGUAGCAGGGAGAUUGUUUUUGAGAACCUUGCAGAGCCAAAUGAAUUCAUGAGCCUCCAUACCAAGGUGCAAUCAUUAGUCAGUAAAUGAAUUACACAUAAUUAUCUGCUCUGUAUUUAAUUCACUUGGCUUCCAGUUUCUUACUCUUCAUACAGUGAAACUCUCUCUCCCUCUCACACAAACACACUCCUUGGGCAGGAGGUUUUGGAGGGCUGCCACGGCCCUGACUCACCAAUCAGACUCCGUGAUUUGAACGAUAUUUAUCUAAGCCUGCAAACAAAGAAGAUGGCUAUGUGUCCAAUGAGAGAAUAAUUAUUGUUAUUAUGUUUAUAGAGCAACAAAGUUGGGAGUUAGGACCCUGGGGGGAAGGUGGCAGGCAGGGUGAGCUGGGCAGUCUGCAGGCAGUGGCUCAGGACAGGCUUUGCAGGGCUCCCUGCCCCUGAGUCACCCCCGCAGCAAUGGCCCAGCAGCCCAGGUGAUGCAAGACCACCCCCCCAAAGGUUCCUGAUGUGGCACCAGGAAAACACUGGCCCUGCAAGGGGUUUGGCAGUGGCUGAAGGGAGCUGGGGCUGGCUCAGGGCACCCAGACACCACCACGGUGGGGCUGAGGGAGGGUGUGCCAGCCUGCAGAGAUCCAGCCCUGGCUGCACGGGGGAGCAGCACUGACAGAGCAGCCUCCUGCUUGAGCAGAGCUCCUUCCUUGUGCAGAAAUCACCUACAGCCACAACUACUGCAACUCACCUGCCAAGGAGAAAAUCCAGAGCAGAAAGAGCUUGUUAUGCAAGGAACAGCUGUUGCCACAGGAGGUUUAAAAAUAAAAAUGUCCUUUGAAAUGAUGUGGGUUCUCCCUGCUGCACAAGGCAAGGCUGGGCCUUGCUCCACCCCUUGGGAGAGCUUUGGACACUGACAGUGGCAGUGCCACGUGUGACCCAGGCUUGGUCCUGCCACCUGAGUGCUCCGUGUGCUCCAAGGGGGCAGGGACAGGGAAGGGUCCCACCUGUCCUUCAGCACUUCUCCAUGGCAGGGAAUAAGUUUGGUAAAACUCACCAUUUGAAACCUGUAUUUCUUCCAAGACUCAAAAGCCUCCUCUUGGCUGUGACUCCAAGUGUGCCAUGAAUUUAAAGGGCACCCCAGACCUCUGAUGUGAGGCUGCUGCCAAUGCCCCUGAACAAAACUCUUGGUUUUUGUUGAGACACAUCUGACUUCUGGUGGAUGUGUACAGAGGAAUAAUGAUUGGUAGCUUUUCAUCAACUUGGUACCAAGCAGCAGUCUCAGCCCUCAGAGCUGUGGCUCUGGAGAGCUUGGAGGAAUCUGGAAAUGCUUUGGUUUAAGGGCACAACCAGCUGUGGUAAUGGCACACAGCACUUCUGUCAAGAAAGCUGGAAAAAGUGUCAUUUCUACUUCCAUUAACUCACCUUGAGGAGGGUAAAGAUUGAGCCACUUUGUGAUUAUCUCAAAUCAUCUUUAGGUUAACAACAUACAGCCAGGGAGAGGGAGGGCAAACAGCCAGAGGAAGACUUUGUCUGGGAAUAAAAGUGAAUUUAGAAUGAAUCCUACACAGGGAACAAGACAUCCCAUCCUUGUUCUUCCAAGAUCACUGUGAAACAGUUCCAAAUUUUGUCUUUAUUAUUGGAAGGAAGGCAAAACCAAUAAUCUGGAUAAUUAUUAAUGCUUAAAAAAUACCACUAAAAUGCAAGAUAAAUAACUUCCAGCCAACCCAGUUUUAGCAGGAAGCUUUAUCUCACUAGAUGCUUUAACUGAUGACUAUGUCUGUGUUAAUAUCCUAGGGAGAAAAGUGGAAAGGCUUUGGCAAAGGAAGACUUGCCAAUGCAAUGACAGACAACAGUACUUUGGAUCACAAAGCAUUUCUUAGAGGAUGGGGAUUGAAGUGCUGGAUUUUUAAAAUUGUAGGAAAUAUUCCCUAUUUAAUUCCCUUUUCAGAGCAACUUAAAUUUACUGGAGAAGGUUGAAAACACCUCUAUGCCAACAUUAACAUCCCAAAGGCAGAAAAAGGCUGUAGAGGAGAGCAAUCAAAACUAUUUCUGGGACAACAGGGUCCACAAGAAGGAAGAUGUGAUUUUAUGGCCUCAGUAAAAACUGGGAGCCUUGGAUCAAGGCUUCCUUAUUUCCUCAAAACUGGCAGCUGACCUGAAGAGAGCCAAGGCAUCUCCCAGUGCUUCAGCCUGCAUUUCUGAGCAGCAAGGGGGCACUUGGAAGAAGCAAAGGACCUUGCAGCAUUUCCCUGCACUCACAGCAGCACUCAGCCCACAUGUACCAUUGAAAAUUGCUGCUUCUGCUGCAGGCUAUUUCCAAAUGGAGACAGAGCUUUGUGGCUCCAUAUAUGUUUGUUUAUUUAAAUAUCGGUUUGUUUGUCUAUCAGUUGAAUUAAUGAAAAUAUUACUGCUCUUUAAUGAAUUACUAUGAGGCAUUUUCAGACCCUUGAAUGGAGGGAGCAAACAAAGCCAGAUUACCAAGCAGGUGGUGAAAUAACUAAGCAGAAGAUUUCAUAAAUAUCAUUGUGCAUCCAGCAGUUUUCACAUCUUCCUCUGUCCCUCCAUGGUACACAGAGGGUUUAUAUCAUUACUACAGGUAGAAAAUCUAGAAAGCAGCCAGACAUUCCCUGCUUGCAGUCCCUGAGCAGUGACACCGUGAGCUGGGGGCUCGGUGUGGGUACCACAAAUUAUUCUUGUGAGCUGACAGAAAACAGUCAAAGGGCAGGGCUAUAAAUCAGUGCUUCACUAUAAAUCACUGCAUUUGUCACUUUGUCACACCCACUCCAGCACACCUUGGCCUUGAUGGGGCUUUAGUUUUUAAUUUUUCCAAUAGAGCAGCAUGGAUGGCAGCUGGCUUUGCCCACCUGAGCAUGGUCACAGUGUCACACAGAGCACAGGGCAGCUCUGCCCAUCCCUGCCAGACCAAGGAGGUGCCUGGUAAAUGCUGCUCUGCAGCUGGGGUGUGGUGCUGUGAGCAGGGCUGUGGAGCACAUCCAACCUUCUCCCAGUGCCAGCAGAGCAAGCCCAGGGCUGUCUGCAGCCUCUGGAGACACAGAUCUAUUCAGCAGAACACAAGAACUUACUAGCAGGUCCAAUUCCAGGGUGAACACUGUUUAUUUUGGUGCAAGAUCAGUAUGGGAACACACGCUUCCAAUUCUGAGAGAGGAAUUUUCCCAGUUUACAAACUGUUCCAUGUUCAUGGAGUUUCAAAUUAUUGUAAGUAACAAAAGAGCACAGAUUCAGUAGCAGAAAUAAGAAUAAAGCACACAGUUCUUGCUGGACAUCUUGAGUUAUCCCAGUGAAGCCAACACAGUAUUUUGCACAAUGAUUGAUAGAUUGUGCCUAUGGAAAUUUUACUUAUUUUUGCUGAAGGUAACCUUGAGUGUCCUGGGACAAUUGCAGUGCUGAGCCAUGCUCAUGUGUGCUUUGGAAGCUUAGAAGGCAGAAGGAAUGGAAAGAACCACAUCCUCCUCCAGACCACAAAUCAUGCCUGUUUGUACCUGAAAGACCAUAAAUUUAUCUGUUUGCAGAGCCCUGGCAGGCUGCCUGGGAACUUCCAUUAAAAGAUGUAGUCCUGCAGUGCACCUCACAGUGUCAAAGGUGGUGUCUCUAGCAUGCAAAGGAAAGCUCUAAGGUCAUGUCUGUGAUUAAAAUAAUAAUAAUAAAAAAAAAUCUCUGGUUGAUUUGACUGCAUUAAUCAGUGUGGCUCUUGGUGAACUUCCUCCAGUAAUAAUGCAGCCCAUUCCAGUUCCCAGCUUUUACAUGAUUCCAUUUGGUUUUGUUGCACAACCCUUGCUCUAGGUUGAACCUAUGAAUUCAUAUUUUGGUGCAGUGAAGCAAUCCAGCCCUGACCUUGCCACGGUUCCUUUCACACAGGUGAAGUGUCCUCUGCAGCCAGGGAGGGCCUGGCUCCAUGGCAGGACAGGUCAUGUCCUUUACAGCCCAGGCAGGCAAGGUCUGAGUGCUGCUCCUGACCCCCAGGCCUUUCCA
Molecule: long non-coding RNA, 5380 nt
Organism: Serinus canaria (Common canary)
Lineage: Eukaryota; Metazoa; Chordata; Aves; Passeriformes; Fringillidae
Exons: 4
Source: RefSeq, a predicted model, not a curated record